AGACCACAUUUCCUUCUCGACUCCAGUCAGUGCUGAAGUAAUUUAUGUUACUCCUUGUGGCAAGGGCUGGGAGGGGACUUUCUUCACACCCUGAGCUGAAUCCAGUUAAAGGAAGCUGAAGAGUCUAUCUAUUCAAACUUGAGCAAUAACUAGUCCUGAAGCAGAAUUUUACAUAGAAGCACUUCUGGUGAAAAUGCAGAAUAAUCUGUUUCCUCCGCUGCUUGAAACGCAACAUGGAAAUAGUAAAAGGGAUGCAAAGUAGGCAGAAGCAACACAACUAUCUCUUGCAAGAAGCUAACUUUGGCAUUUAUUAGAUACUGCAAGAGUACAGACUUGCUAAACUGAUGAAGCUUUCCUACUGCUGUGUUUCAAUGAAACUUGGUUUCUUUUGAAAAUUAGGUCCAUCAUUUAUUGAGAUUUUUGAAAAUCCUGCCUUUUGUUAAACUUCCACUGAUGUGAAAACAACGCAUUUGAAGAAAGCACAUGGCAACAUGCUUUUCUGAGUUGAAGUAACAGAUGAUGAUGAUCAUGUUGCAGCAGACGGAUGGCUGGACUCAUCGUGCUUGUAUCCAUCUCGGACCCAUUCCCGUUAAGACACAAGCGCAGCCUGACUUAUGGAAUCAAACUCUAUAACCACAAGGCAUAGACAAACCUUUGUCACACAUAAUUCUUUACCUUUGAGGAAGGAGGGUGAACUAAGAACAGAUGACCACUCGCUGCACCAGAACAAGGAGCUGAGGCAGUCUGUGAGAACUGUAUUUGAUAGAACGGAAUCAGCCAUUCAGCAUUUUCCGCAGUCUCUGCAAUGUUCUUAUUUAGCUUUCCCUACAUUCAAAGAGUCAAAAGUAGUUUUGCUUCUGGAAUUGUAUUGAAAAAAUAAAAGCAGUUGUGUCAAAGAUCUUCUGUGAUAGGAAACAGUGUCUUUUUCAUAUUUAGAAGCUGAAAAUAGAAGGAUUUUAUGAAGAGAGUUAAAAGCACUAACUUAGCCUUGAAAACACUAAUUUGAAUGACUAAUACUUCAACAAAAUUAAAGUUUUACAUUCUUUAGAGGGUUGAUAUAUCUUCAGCUGUCAACAUGAUAGACUGUCACAGACUGUUUUUCACAUAUGACAGAAAUAAAUCUUUCAGCAGUGGUCUAGACCCAGUAUGUGUUCUACAGGACUCUAUACAGUAGUAAAUUGAAUAGAGGAUGAAAGAAGAAGUGGGUGAGCGAUAACAAGACGAAGGGCAUAUGACAGUCACUUUUGGUACUUGUUUUCCCUGUCCUGCAUUAACAAUUUCUGAAAACAGUAUGUUGUUCCCAACUACACUGGCAGGCCACUUUUUGCAAAUCCAUGUUUCAGUACAUCUGCCCUAGAUCAUCAAUCUUAUGCUGAAAAAGUAGGAAAGAUAAAAUAAAUUAGAGAGGAAAGCUAUCUUAUUCCAGUACCUGAUAAUUUGAUGUUAUUCUUAAAGCUGUGGUGCAUCUUCCCAAGGGAGUUUCGUGAGGAAUGAAAGCAAGGUAUCCGGUAAAGCAAGUAAUUAGAGCUUCCUGACAGAUCAAGGAAGGAGGCUGAUGUAAAGACUGAAACAUGAUUAUCUCAGCCUUGAAAUUAACAGCAUAUGACCUAUGUGUUUUGGGCUUACUUACUAACUGCUUUCAGCACUGUGCAUGAUUAACUCCUGGUAAGCACUGAUGCGCGUUCUCUGUAGUUGGAAGCUUUAUCAAGAAUAGAAUGUAUGCUUUCAACGAUUAUCUGAAUGCAAUCAGUCUUUUUUUUUUUUUUCCCUAAGAUGGAUAGUGAAAGAGAGUUCUUACAAUUAAAAAGCUGAGAAAAAUUGAGAGGUUCAGGCUCUCUAUGGGUAUGUAUGUUACUCUGAGAUCAGUAUUACUUUUAAGAAUAAAAGAAAACCUUGUGAUGUUUUAUUU
Molecule: long non-coding RNA, 1909 nt
Organism: Gallus gallus (chicken)
Lineage: Eukaryota; Metazoa; Chordata; Aves; Galliformes; Phasianidae
Source: Ensembl